UACGGAGGGUGCAAGCGUUAUCCGGAUUCACUGGGUUUAAAGGGUGCGUAGGCGGACAGGUAAGUCAGUGGUGAAAUCUCUGGGCUUAACCCAGAAACUGCCGUUGAUACUAUUUGUCUUGAAUAUCCUGGAGGUAGGCGGAAUAUGUCAUGUAGCGGUGAAAUGCUUAGAUAUGACAUAGAACACCAAUUGCGAAGGCAGCUAUCUACAGGAAUAUUGACACUGAGGCACGAAAGCGUGGGGAUCAAACAGG
This 253-nucleotide ribosomal RNA is filed under the name uncultured bacterium. RNAcentral describes it as "partial 16S ribosomal RNA". It matches the Rfam family "Bacterial small subunit ribosomal RNA", at positions 524 to 776 of the family's 1533-position model. The record is from RNAcentral.